This 497-nucleotide ribosomal RNA is filed under the name uncultured bacterium. RNAcentral's name for it is "partial 16S ribosomal RNA". It matches the Rfam family "Bacterial small subunit ribosomal RNA", at positions 28 to 507 of the family's 1533-position model. The record is from RNAcentral.
GAUGAACGCUGGCGGCGUGCCUAAUACAUGCAAGUCGAGCGAACAGACGAGGAGCUUGCUCCUCUGACGUUAGCGGCGGACGGGUGAGUAACACGUGGAUAACCUACCUAUAAGGCUGGGAUAACUUCGGGAAACCGGAGCUAAUACCGGAUAACAUGUUGAACCGCAUGGUUCAACAGUGAAAGACGGUCUUGCUGUCACUUAUAGAUGGAUCCGCGCCGCAUUAGCUAGUUGGUAAGGUAACGGCUUACCAAGGCAACGAUGCGUAGCCGACCUGAGAGGGUGAUCGGCCACACUGGAACUGAGACACGGUCCAGACUCCUACGGGAGGCAGCAGUAGGGAAUCUUCCGCAAUGGGCGAAAGCCUGACGGAGCAACGCCGCGUGAGUGAAGAAAGUCUUCGGAUCGUAAAACUCUGUUAUUAGGGAAGAACAAAUGUGUAAGUAACUAUGCACGUCUUGACGGUACCUAAUCAGAAAGCCACGGCUAACUACGUG